RNAcentral lists this ribosomal RNA (403 nucleotides) under Diceros bicornis (black rhinoceros). RNAcentral describes it as "partial 12S ribosomal RNA". It matches the Rfam family "Bacterial small subunit ribosomal RNA", at positions 785 to 1378 of the family's 1533-position model. The record is from RNAcentral. Lineage: Eukaryota; Metazoa; Chordata; Mammalia; Perissodactyla; Rhinocerotidae.
CCCCACUAUGCCUAGCCUUAAACUUAAAUAAUUUUCCCAACAAAAUUAUUCGCUAGAGUACUACAAGCAACAGCUUAAAACUCAAAAGACUUGGCGGUGCUUUAUAUCCCCCUAGAGGAGCCUGUUCCAUAAUCGAUAAACCCCGAUAAACCCUACCAGCCCUUGCUAAUUCAGCCUAUAUACCGCCAUCUUCAGCAAACCCUAACAAGGAACUAAAGUAAGCACAAGUAUAAGACAUAAAAACGUUAGGUCAAGGUGUAGCUUAUGGGAUGGAGAGAAAUGGGCUACAUUUUCUACUCUAAGAACAACAAUUACCCAAACGAAAGUUUCCAUGAAACCAAAAACUAAAGGAGGAUUUAGCAGUAAAUUAAGAAUAGAGAGCUUAAUUGAACCAGGCCAUAAA